UGUGGCUGGGGGUGAAAGGCCAAUCAAACCGGGAGAUAGCUGGUUCUCCCCGAAAGCUAUUUAGGUAGCGCCUCGUGAAUUCAUCUCCGGGGGUAGAGCACUGUUUCGGCUAGGGGGCCAUCCCGGCUUACCAACCCGAUGCAAACUGCGAAUACCGGAGAAUGUUAUCACGGGAGACACACGGCGGGUGCUAACGUCCGUCGUGAAGAGGGAAACAACCCAGACCGCCAGCUAAGGUCCCAAAGUCAUGGUUAAGUGGGAAACGAUGUGGGAAGGCCCAGACAGCCAGGAUGUUGGCUUAGAAGCAGCCAUCAUUUAAAGAAAGCGUAAUAGCUCACUGGUCGAGUCGGCCUGCGCGGAAGAUGUAACGGGGCUAAACCAUGCACCGAAGCUGCGGCAGCGAACGUAUCACUUAAAGCGAUUCAGCGGGUUACGAUUGACGGAGCGAAGCGACGUCAAAGCGUAUACAAAGUCGAGUCGGUUUAAGGAUACGUU
RNAcentral lists this ribosomal RNA (495 nucleotides) under Salmonella enterica subsp. enterica serovar Anatum. Its description in RNAcentral is "partial 23S ribosomal RNA". It matches the Rfam family "Bacterial large subunit ribosomal RNA", at positions 810 to 1289 of the family's 2925-position model. Lineage: Bacteria; Pseudomonadati; Pseudomonadota; Gammaproteobacteria; Enterobacterales; Enterobacteriaceae. The record is from RNAcentral.